Folsomia candida is the source of this 628-nucleotide long non-coding RNA. RefSeq lists it as uncharacterized. Lineage: Eukaryota; Metazoa; Arthropoda; Collembola; Entomobryomorpha; Isotomidae. The record is from RefSeq and is a predicted model, not a curated record. The transcript is spliced from 2 exons.
UGUUGUGCUUGUGUUUGCUAGUGCUAUUUAUCUUAUCAAUCACUGCUCCAACACCCACCAAGAAAUUGCUAAAACUGAGACCAACUUCCGAUUAGGAUCCCUCAAAAUUAAAAGGGAACAAAUUACAACCCGCAAAAAGACGACACGUGUCAAACCCUUUUUCGUCCAUGGUUCACUUGUGUGAAGAUGAAACGAUGUGUUAUUCGAGCCAUCGUCUGAUGACCGUUGACCAGCAAAGCCAGACCAGACCACCAAAUAUUCCGCGUUCGACAACACCCCCAUUCAUUAUCAUUAGGGAGCGAAAUUUGGGAGAGAAAGAUCGGGAGAGAAAGAUCGGGUUGCUUGCUGGUAAGCAUUUGUAAAUUGACCUGUCAUUUACGACGCGUGUCGAGUGGACUGGACACACUGUUGAAAUUCUGAAGGACCAUUAGUGACCAUAAAAUAAGUACAUAGACAAAAUUACACCUCCUCCACUACCCAAAACGUCAAAGGAAACAAUGGAGAAAAUUGUGGGUUUACACAAAAGGAUGAACUUUGAUGAUUGCAUGAUCACCAGAUAUGUUCAUCCAUUUUCGCAUUUCCCCACCCAGAUUUCUAAACAGACAAUGAAAUAAAUAUGUAUAUUGGA